RNAcentral lists this ribosomal RNA (433 nucleotides) under Acanthamoeba genotype T4. RNAcentral's name for it is "SSU rRNA". It matches the Rfam family "Eukaryotic small subunit ribosomal RNA", at positions 768 to 1098 of the family's 1831-position model. Lineage: Eukaryota; Discosea; Longamoebia; Acanthamoebidae. The record is from RNAcentral.
GUGGGGGUCAGCAUGCAGAUCCAUUUUCUGCCACCGAAUACAUUAGCAUGGGAUAAUGGAAUAGGACCCUGUCCUCCUAUUUUCAGUUGGUUUUGGCAGCGCGAGGACUAGGGUAAUGAUUAAUAGGGAUAGUUGGGGGCAUUAAUAUUUAAUUGUCAGAGGUGAAAUUCUUGGAUUUAUGAAAGAUUAACUUCUGCGAAAGCAUCUGCCAAGGAUGUUUUCAUUAAUCAAGAACGAAAGUUAGGGGAUCGAAGACGAUCAGAUACCGUCGUAGUCUUAACCAUAAACGAUGCCGACCAGCGAUUAGGAGACGUUGAAUACAAAACACCACCAUCGGCGCGGUCGUCCUUGGCGUCGGUCCUUCAGGGGGCCGGCGCGGGGGCGGCUUACCCCGGGGGCACCGGUGAAUGACUCCCUAGCAUCUUUGUGAAAA